CGCAGCCACAAUGUAAGUACAGUUCACUUUCUGCUUCUUUUUUCUAUUGGUCAGCGAGCGGGAACGUAAGCUAAUCGUAUGCUCUCUCUUUUCAUGUCAAAAGCCCCGCAGAUGCGACCAAUAGCCUGGCUGCACUGAAAUCGCACAACCUUCCAGCACUCAAGAAAAGCUAUGAAGUCAUUGAGAAACUGCUCCUGGGUGACCCAUCCCCAAUGACCACCGAGGAAGCCGAAUCAGUCGUGGAAUCGUUGAAGGCUCUAACAACUCUGGAGGAAAACCUUGAACCUGAAAGUGAAGAGUAUUUCCUGGCGAACCUCUUUCAGAAAAUUGUUGUCUGGGCAGUUCAAACGGCCGUGUCCAAGGUUGCCUCACGUGGUAUGGAGGCUAUGAUUAACAAGGGAUAAAAUAGCAGUAAUUCUAUGCACCACUGCAGCACAAAUAAAAUACGUACACACAACGGG
Molecule: long non-coding RNA, 461 nt
Organism: Dermacentor albipictus
Lineage: Eukaryota; Metazoa; Arthropoda; Arachnida; Ixodida; Ixodidae
Source: RefSeq, a predicted model, not a curated record